RNAcentral lists this long non-coding RNA (300 nucleotides) under Carica papaya (papaya). RNAcentral's name for it is "long non-coding RNA (CPAP_LNC013640)". Lineage: Eukaryota; Viridiplantae; Streptophyta; Magnoliopsida; Brassicales; Caricaceae. The record is from RNAcentral.
UUUCUCCUCCAUGUAGUCUGGAAAGACAUGAGAUGACCGCUCCCUGUGGAUAACGAUGUACCAUUUGAUGAGAGUGGUGAUGUGAUAUGAUUGUAGGGGUCACCUUUAACGAAGUACGGUCAUGAUCAUAGUUUACAUGUAGGACCAUUGUGAUUGGCAUGGCCGUGGUCAUAGAUCGUGUCAUUGUUUGGCAAGCUGUAAAUGUGUUAGUUUGGCAAGCCGCAAAUCUCUAAUAUAAUAUGAAAUAAAUUAGUCAUUCCACAUGGGUAGUAAGGAAUCCAUAUUGCCCUUAGUGGAUGG